CCAUGGCCACUUUGGCCUACCUGCUGCGACAUCUGGAUUCCAGGGGAACUGCCAGGGUCAGAGGCUGAAGGCACAAGCAUGGCAAUCACCGCCUGGUCAGACUCCAGAGGUUUGGUUUGUAACAUUAAGAAGACAUUCCUCCAAUGCCUGAAAUGCCCUUCAUAGUGUCCUUUACGUUACAAGAGCUUGGGAACAGUCACAUGGAGGAUCGGGAGCUGAGCCCACACACUGAAAUCACAGAACAGAGGGAGCAGAUGGAAGAAAGAAAAUUGGCAGGUUUAGAGGGCGAGAACAACCCAAAGAAGGGCCAGGUAAUAUGGAGCUGGAUUUGCCAAAGGAGGUGAGAAUAAGCACAAGUUGAGUUCAGAAAAGUCAAGGGAAACUGAGGAAUGUGUACAGCAUCGUGCGGCUCCUCAAGGAGCAGCCUGAGCUGAGCAGUGAGGACUGGGAUAGUAACUUACUCGACAGUGAACCUGUGCACCUGCUAGAGAAAUCCACAGAAUGGAUCAGGAUUUGUUUCUACUGCUGGGAAGCACCAAUUCCAAGAGGAGGAGGAUGUGACCUUGAGGCUUUUCCCAGACUCCCCCAGCCUCGACCUUGGAACUGCCCUCACAAUGGAUGCCCUUCCAGUAAGUGUGGGCUUAGAGAGAUAAAUGAUGUUUGGAGAA
This is a long non-coding RNA of Diceros bicornis minor, 668 nucleotides long. RefSeq lists it as uncharacterized. NCBI's taxonomy places the organism in Eukaryota, Metazoa, Chordata, Mammalia, Perissodactyla, Rhinocerotidae. The record is from RefSeq and is a predicted model, not a curated record. The transcript is spliced from 3 exons.